UUAUAGAGAUUAACCAGUUGAUCCUAAAACCUUAAUUCCUCCUGUCAACAGAACUCUCUCGAAACCUUAAUAAAUGCCAAAUGUCUCUCAAGCAAACUAUUCUGACUCAAUCUCAUCCCACAAUCUCUACAUCUUUCUUCAUCAUCCAUUAGUACCAAUGGAUCGAAUCUCUUUUGGAGUCAAUCUCAAAUUGGUAACUGGUCUUCAACAUCUGAUUCAUGAUUAUUUGUAGGUAAUUCUAAUUCGUGCAGCCACAUUUUAGUGCAGUCAACUAAAUUCUAAUUAAUAUGUUUUCUCUCUCUCUUUGCAAUCAGAAUCUCUUCACUCUCUUCUGCUUCAAUCAAUUGCAUAACUCAAAGUCUCUAUAAGUUGUCUCUCUCUUAAUCACAUUAAGUCUUCCUCGCAAUUGGAUCUAUUUCAUGUACAUAUUGAAAAAAAAAAAACAAACUUGGAUUGACAUAAAGUUAUUUCGGUUAAAUCAAUUUAUGUAGGAUGAAGCUAAAUAUCUUCUCAUUCAUUGAUUGAAAUUAUGUAAUCAAGUAAAAUUCAGAUAUCAAGUCUGACAUUGUUGAACUCUCCACAAUGGAAUGUUCAUCCUAUUUACAACAUGUACAAUUUUGUUUCAAAAGUUCUGCCUGGCGAAGUAUUGUUCAAUGUUGUUCAAUGUACAAUUUUAGUUAUUUAUGUAUGUAGGUUUCUUUAAAAGGUGAUUACAUCCAUAUCUAAUUACUAUCUUUUACUUCACUACCCACUGCAAUUAUGCAAAUUAAGUGUGCUUCAUUUUGAGAUGGUCAAUUGUUUUGUUGUUAAUCAAUCCGAUAUUUGCAAAUUAGUAUUGAGUAAUGAUGGUUUACAUUUUUUUUUUCAGGUUAAUGAUCAAUUGUUGAACUGGAUCCAGAGCACCAAAUUGAAGUGCAAACAAGUUUUUACCAGAGGUUAUCGAUACCUUUGUGACAUGUAAGUUCUACUCGGCAAUGUUCAAUCUAUAUUCCUACAUUCUACAUUUUACAAGAUAAGUCUUCUUAAUGCUGACACAUUUAUGAUUAGAUAACCUCAAAUAUUGGAUGAUCUUAGUAAUAGAUGGUAGCCACUAGGAUGUCUUAUACUCAUGUAGGUCUCCCCCUAACAAAGAAGUAUCGACUUUUUAGGACCGCUAAGAAAAAUUAUACAACUGUAUCACACUGAAAUAUUGGAAACCAAAAUCGAAACUACAUAGCAAGAUUCAACAAUCUCUAAAUGUAAACUCAGCUAUCUGAAACAAAGAUGAGGAGCGAAGGAUGUAGGAUCUUAGUUGUAUGCUUGGUUGAAGUUAUGUAUAUGAGUGUAUAGUAGUCAUUGUGUUCACUCGCAGUGAUGACAAUUAUUAUUGCAAUCUUUACAGGACGUUAUGCUAGAACUUGCAAGUUUUAAUCAUUAUGGUAAUCUGAUUCUCUUUGGAGUUGUGACAGAAAAAAAUAAAAAACAAUCAUUUUGGUUUUCUCAUUACAAUUGCUCGUUAGGGAUGUGAGGUUGACAGUACUAUAAGUGUUCAGAUAAAACUUGGUUGGAAAAAACACCUGAAGGACAUAUUGAAAAAGUGAUUCAUAUUGAUUUGUCUGUAAACCACUUAUCUUAUGCACAAUCAUACUAUGUUACUAUGCAUCUUAAGAGGGCAUAACCUUUGUGCAUUGGAAAAAAUGGCUUAUAAGCCUUGUACUUUUAUAGGUAAUCGUUUAUGUAAUAGUAGUUUACGCAACA
Molecule: long non-coding RNA, 1737 nt
Filed under: Aquilegia coerulea
Lineage: Eukaryota; Viridiplantae; Streptophyta; Magnoliopsida; Ranunculales; Ranunculaceae
Description: long non-coding RNA (ACOE_LNC002061)
Source: RNAcentral